This 1958-nucleotide ribosomal RNA is filed under the name bioreactor metagenome. RNAcentral's name for it is "bacterial LSU rRNA". It matches the Rfam family "Bacterial large subunit ribosomal RNA", at positions 965 to 2925 of the family's 2925-position model. The record is from RNAcentral.
GAUAUUAUUAGUGCAGCAGUCAGACUGCGAAUGAUAAGAUCCGUAGUCAAAAGGGAAACAGCCCAGACCACCAGCUAAGGUCCCCAAGUAUAGAUUAAGUGGAAAAGGAUGUGGGAUUUCUAAGACAACUAGGAUGUUGGCUCAGAAGCAGCCAUACAUUAAAAGAGUGCGUAAUAGCUCACUAGUCAAGAGAUCCUGCGCCGAAAAUGUCCGGGGCUCAAACUUACCACCGAAGCUACGGGUUCACUUUUAAAGUGAGCGGUAGAGGAGCGUCGUAAUCGGGCUGAAGUCGUACCGAAAGGAGCGGUGGACUGAUUACGAGUGAGAAUGUUGGCAUUAGUAGCGAGAUGUAGGUGAGAAUCCUACAGGCCGAAUAUCUAAGGUUUCCUGAGUAAAGUUUGUCUUCUCAGGGUUAGUCGGGACCUAAGGCGAGGCCGAAAGGCGUAGCCGAUGGACAAUUGGUUGAUAUUCCAAUACCACUACAAUCGUUAUUAUCGAUGGUGUGACGGAGAAGGAUAGGAUGUGCCAGCUAUUGGAUGCUGGUCUAAGCGUUGAGGGAGUUAGAGUAGGCAAAUCCGCUCUAACAAUUCUGGGGCGUUAUGGGGAAGGUUCUACGGAACCGAAGUAUCUGAUUUCAUGCUUCCAAGAAAAGCAUCUAGAGAGAGAAGUAGUGCCCGUACCGCAAACCGACACAGGUAGAUGAGGAGAGAAUCCUAAGGCCGACGGAAGAAUUGCAGUUAAGGAACUAGGCAAAUUGACCCCGUAACUUCGGGAGAAGGGGUGCCUGCGAGAGCAGGCCGCAGAGAAUAGGCACAAGCAACUGUUUAACAAAAACACAGGUCUCUGCUAAAGCGUAAGCUGAUGUAUAGGGGCUGACGCCUGCCCAGUGCCGGAAGGUUAAAGGGAGGGGUUCGGGCAAGUUCGCUUGCUCAAAGCUCUGAACUGAAGCCCCGGUGAACGGCGGCCGUAACUAUAACGGUCCUAAGGUAGCGAAAUUCCUUGUCGGGUAAGUUCCGACCCGCACGAAUGGCGUAACGAUCUGGGCACUGUCUCAACAAGGGACUCGGCGAAAUUGUAGUACCGGUGAAGAUGCCGGUUACCCGCGAUUGGACGGAAAGACCCCGUAGAGCUUUACUGUAGCUUAGCAUUGAGCUCCGGUAUUGUUUGUACAGGAUAGGUGGGAGGCUUGGAAACCAGGGCGUCAGCCUUGGCGGAGCCGUCCUUGGGAUACCACCCUGAUGAUACUGGAGCUCUAACGGGCAGCCAUAUAUCUGGCUGACGGACACUGCUAGGUGGGCAGUUUGACUGGGGCGGUCGCCUCCCAAAAGGUAACGGAGGCGCCCAAAGGUUCCCUCAGUGCGGUUGGAAAUCGCGCGCAGAGUGCAAAGGCAGAAGGGAGCCUAACUGCGAGACAGACAUGUCGGGCAGUGACGAAAGUCGGGCUUAGUGAUCCGGUGGUUCCGAGUGGAAGGGCCAUCGCUCAACGGAUAAAAGCUACCUCGGGGAUAACAGGCUGAUCUCCCCCAAGAGUCCACAUCGACGGGGAGGUUUGGCACCUCGAUGUCGGCUCGUCGCAUCCUGGGGCUGUAGUAGGUCCCAAGGGUUGGGCUGUUCGCCCAUUAAAGCGGCACGCGAGCUGGGUUCAGAACGUCGUGAGACAGUUCGGUCCCUAUCCGUCGCGGGCGUAGGAAAUUUGAGAGGAUCUGCUCCUAGUACGAGAGGACCAGAGUGGACUUACCGCUGGUGUACCAGUUGUCUUGCCAAAGGCAUCGCUGGGUAGCUAUGUAGGGAAGGGAUAAACGCUGAAAGCAUCUAAGUGUGAAGCCCACCUCAAGAUGAGAUUUCCCAUGAUUUUAUAUCAGUAAGAGCCCUGAGAGAUGAUCAGGUAGAUAGGUUAGAAGUGUAAGUGUGGUGACACAUGUAGCGGACUAAUACUAAUAGCUCGAGGACUUAUCCAA